This 465-nucleotide ribosomal RNA is filed under the name uncultured bacterium. RNAcentral describes it as "partial 16S ribosomal RNA". It matches the Rfam family "Bacterial small subunit ribosomal RNA", at positions 338 to 795 of the family's 1533-position model. The record is from RNAcentral.
CCUACGGGAGACAGCAGUAGGGAAUCUUCCACAAUGGGCGAAAGCCUGAUGGAGCAACGCCGCGUGGGUGAAGAAGGUCUUCGGAUCGUAAAACCCUGUUGUUAGAGAAGAAAGUGCGUGAGAGUAACUGUUCACGUUUCGACGGUAUCUAACCAGACAGCCACGGCUAACUACGUGCCAGCAGCCGCGGUAAUACGUAGGUGGCAAGCGUUAUCCGGAUUUAUUGGGCGUAAAGGGAACGCAGGCGGUCUUUUAAGUCUGAUGUUAAAGCCUUCGGCUUAACCGGAGUAGUGCAUUGGAAACUGGGAGACUUGAGUGCAGAAGAGGAGAGUGGAACUCCAUGUGUAGCGGUGAAAUGCGUAGAUAUAUGGAAGAACACCAGUGGCGAAAGCGGCUCUCUGGUCUGUAACUGACGCUGAGGUUCGAAAGCGUGGGUAGCAAACAGGAUUAGAUACCCGAGUAGUC